GCCAGAGCUCGGGACUGGUGCUGACCUGCAGGAUGGAGGAGAGAAGAGAAGACUCAUCAACAGAACAAAUGUUGCUGGAACAUUACUUAUAAUGGCAACAAUUGGAAACAAUCAAAGGAUGUCACUAUAGGGACUUGGGUUAAGAAAAUUAUGACACAUCAAAAGCACAGUGAAGAGAACUUCUGUCAAUCCUGUCAAGCACAUGAAGAUGUGAAGUUUCAACUGGAUUCAUUUCUAUAAAUAACCGAUACAAUUUCCAGAAAACCCUGAAGUCAGGAAAACCAAUGUUACUAAUGGCCUUAGGCUACGAGAAGAUCUGGUUAAGAGUAUCCUAAGGGAGGAUCUAAGCCUGUUCAUACUCUACAAGCAAAGAAACGAAGAAACACAAGAUUUAAGGUUGUUUGUCAACUGACAGCCCUUUCUAUCAACAACUAAAUAAAAAAAUCUGUAUUCCAGAAACAUGACACUUCAUGUACCACCCAUUUUCCUCACCCUGAAACCCCUUGAUUUUCUUAUUUUCACCAUUUGCUUCAACCAGCAGUUCACUGGAGACCCAUCCAUCUUGUAAUGCCUAAAGUGACAGAUGCUCUCAGAAACGACCACACUGCUGAGUGAACAAAAGAUAACAUCACCUCCAGGAACUCCAGAGAGAAAUACAACUGCAAGCUUAAGACAGGGGCUGACUUGACAGACAUUGGACCAUAAACCUCUUCUAAGCAAAAAAGAAAACAAUUGCCACACACACAAAAAAAAUCUGACACAAUCAAAGGCAGAAAAGAGUGAUUAUUUGUGGAUUGCCUUUUCACUCUGUAACUCACUUUUCCCCACCCAAUGCUUUUAUAUCGGGGCAAUUCACUCACCAAUAGGCAGGAGGAGUUCUUGUGUGUGUGGGGGGGGGGG
RNAcentral lists this long non-coding RNA (900 nucleotides) under Homo sapiens (human). RNAcentral's name for it is "HSALNT0393269". Lineage: Eukaryota; Metazoa; Chordata; Mammalia; Primates; Hominidae. The record is from RNAcentral.